This 743-nucleotide ribosomal RNA is filed under the name Bacillus sp. BAB-5612. RNAcentral describes it as "bacterial SSU rRNA". It matches the Rfam family "Bacterial small subunit ribosomal RNA", at positions 28 to 756 of the family's 1533-position model. The record is from RNAcentral. Lineage: Bacteria; Bacillati; Bacillota; Bacilli; Caryophanales; Bacillaceae.
GACGAACGCUGGCGGCGUGCCUAAUACAUGCAAAGUCGAGCGGACAGAUUGGGAGCUUGCUCCCUGAUGUAGCGGCGGACGGGUGAGUAACACGUGGGUAACCUGCCUGUAAGAUGGGAUAACUCCGGGAAACCGGGGCUAAUACCGGAUGCUUGAUUGAACCGCAUGGUUCAAUUAUAAAAGGUGGCUUUUAGCUACCACUUACAGAUGGACCCGCGGCGCAUUAGCUAGUUGGUGAGGUAACGGCUCACCAAGGCACGAUGCGUAGCGACCUGAGAGGGUGAUCGGCCACACUGGGACUGAGACACGGCCCAGACUCCUACGGGAGGCAGCAGUAGGGAAUCUUCCGCAAUGGACGAAAGUCUGACGGAGCAACGCCGCGUGAGUGAUGAAGGUUUUCGGAUCGUAAAACUCUGUUGUUAGGGAAGAACAAGUACCGUUCGAAUAGGGCGGUACCUUGACGGUACCUAACCAGAAAGCCACGGCUAAUACGUGCCAGCAGCCGCGGUAAUACGUAGGUGGCAAGCGUUGUCCGGAAUUAUUGGGCGUAAAGCGCGCGCAGGCGGUUUCUUAAGUCUGAUGUGAAAGCCCCCGGCUCAACCGGGGAGGGUCAUUGGAAACUGGGGAACUUGAGUGCAGAAGAGGAGAGUGGAAUUCCACGUGUAGCGGUGAAAUGCGUAGAGAUGUGGAGGAACACCAGUGGCGAAGGCGACUCUCUGGUCUGUAACUGACGCUGAGGCCGA